Schizosaccharomyces pombe (fission yeast) is the source of this 939-nucleotide non-coding RNA. The record is from the annotation of a GenBank genome assembly. NCBI's taxonomy places the organism in Eukaryota, Fungi, Ascomycota, Schizosaccharomycetes, Schizosaccharomycetales, Schizosaccharomycetaceae.
GUUUUGAAUUACUGAAGAGUCAUUUGUAAACCAAUCAAGAGUAGGGAAAGGAGGUGCGCCGAUGUCUAAGACGAAAGAAGUAGCAAAGGAACGACAUUCUCCGAUGCUCCUUGUGAAACUCCAUACUUCAUCUUUCCAUUGUGAAGCUAAAUGUGAACUCGCAGAGACACCGACCACGAAUUGCAACCCUAUGCAAUCAAAAUCUGGAGAUAAAGAAGCCAAACUGGUUUUCAUAAGCUCGAAACGAAGAUAACGGACUAAUGAUUCAUCCAACCUAAAGCUCAACUUAUUGUUGUACAAAGUAUCCAAAGGUAACAUAGAACCUUUGGAAUUCGACGUGGAUUUUUCAACUUGACUUGAUGGAUGAUGGUUAUGAGAUUUCGACUUGCUAAAUGGCGAAAUCGGUGAGAAGCUGUUGAGUAACCCUUUAGAAGACAAUUUUCCUGGAGAUUUUUGGCUAGAAUUAUCAAGUUUCGAUGUUGGUAUUUCUGCUAGAAUGUCAUUAUCAAAAGAUUGUGAAUGAUGAGGAUCGAUGACCGUCCAAGUUCUGUUGGAAUCCGACCGGCGACGUGUAAAACAUAUGUCACUAUCAGGUAUUUUCAAGGUAGAAAAUGAGGACCUUCUUGUAUCGGAUGAGCCAGUCUUUUGAAGAGACAAAGAAUCGUUAUCUUCUGAAAGUCCACGAGGAGGUAGGCUAGGUUUGUCAUCAGGCCUAGGUGUGGUAGAAGACGAAGAAAUUGGCGGAGGUGGAGGACUCUCAGUAGGACGCGCAGGGGUUGAAUAUGCUGGAACAUUUGAGGUUGGAGCCAAGAAAUUAUUUGCUUCCUUAUUUUCAAUAAUGGGAGAAUUCGUUUCACUUCGAGCUUGUAAAAGAACAUUUUCGGAAACAACUCGAAAAUCAGAAUGGAAUUUACCUGACUUCGAGCUUAAAUUAUUAGU